UCGAACAUCUGGACACUGGAAUCCACUCUUGGCUAAGUAAUGUUCCACGAGUUCAUCAGGAAUCUUUGGGGUGUAGUCCGUUAAGGAAGCAAGAAAAUCUGAAAGUGAGUUUUCAUCAUCAUGUCUAACUUCGUUUGAUUGCUGAUUGUGAUUCAUAUUCACUUUCCCUCUCUGUUAUUUUAUUGUAACUCGUAAGGAUGGGUUC
RNAcentral lists this long non-coding RNA (205 nucleotides) under Helianthus annuus (common sunflower). Its description in RNAcentral is "sRNA HanXRQr2_Chr07g0303031". The record is from RNAcentral. Lineage: Eukaryota; Viridiplantae; Streptophyta; Magnoliopsida; Asterales; Asteraceae.